ACUACGAGAUGGUGACCUCGCUGGGAUUUCCCAUUCCCAAACCUGAGCUGAUUGUCCAGCUGGAACGAGGGGAAGAGCCGUGGGUGCCCGAUCUCCAGGCCUGCGAGGAAAGAAGGCUUCCGAGAUGCCCCCAUACAGGCUGAGGAAUCACGUCCAUGUUUCGGUCCAGAUGGGCCCAUCUUCCAGGACACAGGGAAGGGAAAUGUUUGUGAUGGAGCCAGCUGCCAUGCCGGUGACCUUUGAGGAGGUAGCUGUGUAUUUCACCCAGGAACAGGGGGCUCUGCUGGACCCCGCUCAGAGAGCCCUCUACAGGGAUGUCAUGCAGGA
Chelonoidis abingdonii (Abingdon island giant tortoise) is the source of this 327-nucleotide non-coding RNA. Lineage: Eukaryota; Metazoa; Chordata; Testudines; Testudinidae. The record is from RefSeq and is a predicted model, not a curated record.